This 494-nucleotide ribosomal RNA is filed under the name uncultured bacterium. RNAcentral describes it as "partial 16S ribosomal RNA". It matches the Rfam family "Bacterial small subunit ribosomal RNA", at positions 28 to 507 of the family's 1533-position model. The record is from RNAcentral.
GACGAACGCUGGCGGCGCGCUUAACACUUGCAAGUCGAACGGAAAGGCCUGCUUUCCCUUGUGGAUUGCGGGUACUCGAGUGGCGAACGGGUGAGUAACACGUGAGUGAUCUGCCCCCAACUUGGGUAUAAGCCUGGGAAACUGGGUCUAAUUCCCGAUAGGACUGCAGGGUGGUGCCGGUGGUGGAAAACGAUUUUCUAGUGGUUGGGGAUGAGCUCGCGGCCUAUCAGCUUGUUGGUGGGGUGAUGGCCUACCAAGGCGGCGACGGGUAGCCGGCCUGAGAGGGUGGACGGCCACAUUGGGACUGAGAUACGGCCCAGACUCCUACGGGAGGCAGCAGUGGGGAAUAUUGCACAAUGGGCGGAAGCCUGAUGCAGCGACGCCGCGUGGGGGAUGACGGCCUUCGGGUUGUAAACUCCUUUCGACCGCGAGGAAGCCACCUGGUUGGAAGGGUGGUGACGGUAGUGGUAGAAGAAGCACCGGCUAACUACGUG